This is a long non-coding RNA of Columba livia (rock pigeon), 341 nucleotides long. RefSeq lists it as uncharacterized. Lineage: Eukaryota; Metazoa; Chordata; Aves; Columbiformes; Columbidae. The transcript is spliced from 2 exons. The record is from RefSeq and is a predicted model, not a curated record.
UCCAUCUUUCUGUCGAAAGCGUGUAACACCCCCGGGCCCACUGGCGAGCUUGGUUUGCGUGGCUAAUCACAUCAGACGUGAAAAAACACCUUUCCUCCCACCUCAGCUCCCUCUGCGGCCUCAUAACCUGGGAAGUGCCAAAAGCAGAAUGCACCGAUGAUAAUGCCCUCAGCCAGCCAACGGGAUGACUUGAGCUCUUCAAACGAUACAGGUCACUGUAAUUAUCCGGCUAUUAUACGACUCCAACUUUCAGGCAAAGUGGUCUUGCUCUCAACACCCACUAUUAUAUAUGUACUAAAAUCCACAUCAAAAUCAAUUAAAUAAUGAAUGCAUUAAAAGGA